Molecule: small RNA, 102 nt
Filed under: Escherichia coli
Lineage: Bacteria; Pseudomonadati; Pseudomonadota; Gammaproteobacteria; Enterobacterales; Enterobacteriaceae
Description: partial RtT sRNA
Rfam family: RtT RNA
About the family: This family represents a bacterial cis-regulatory element known as RtT RNA. The exact function of RtT is unknown although it is thought that it may be involved in changing the cellular response in relation to amino acid starvation.
Source: RNAcentral
UUCGACUAAGGUUCGGCUCGAGCGUCAGCGAGAGAGCGUUGCCGCAGGCAACGACCCGAAGGGCGAAGCGCGCAGCGCUGAGUAAUCCUUCCCCCACCACCA